Molecule: ribosomal RNA, 1191 nt
Rfam family: Bacterial small subunit ribosomal RNA
UGAGUUUGAUCCUGGCUCAGGAUGAAUGCUAGCAAUAUACUUAACACAUGCUAGUCGAAUGUUUUUAAAACAUGGCGCACGGGUGAGUAAUAUACAAGAAUCUGCCUUAUAAAUUGGGAUAAUUUAUUAUUAAAGCUUUUUUAAUAAAAAAAAUACCAAAUGAAAAGAUUAACUAUCGUUAUAAGAUGAGCUUGUAUAGGAUUAAGGUAGUUGGAAAGGUAAAAGCUUAACAAGCCGAUGAUCCUUAGUUGAUUUGAGAGAAUGAUCAGCCACACUGGGACUGAGAUAAGGCCCAGGCUCUUGCCAGCAGUGAGGAAUAUUGGACAAUGGGCGAAAGCUUGAUCCAGUAAUAUUGCGUGAAUGAGGACAGCGAAAAAGAUUUGAGAGUAAAAUCUUAAAUUGGUUGUAAAGUUCUUUCGUUAGUGAAGAUAAUGACUUUAGCUAAAGAAGAAACCCCGGCUAACCUCGUGCCAGCAGCCGCGGUAAUACGAAGGGGGUGAGCAUUAUCCAAAAUGAUUGGGCGUAAAGGGUUCGUAGAUUGCAAAUGUUUUCAUAUGUGAAAGUUUAAUUAAAAUUAAAAAUGCGUAUGAUACUCCUUUGCUUGAGUAUAUUAUGAGAUAACAGAAUUUUAUAGGGAGGAGUGAAAUCCAUAGAUCUAUGAAGGAAUGCCAGUGGCGGAAGCGGUUAUCUAGAAUAUUUACUGACAUUGAGGAACGAAAGCAUGGGGAGCAAACAGGAUUAGAUACCCUGGUAGUCCAUGCUGUCAAUUAUGAAUGCUAACAUUUGGACUUAGUUCAAAUGUACAGUUAACGCGUUAAGCAUUCCGCCUGAGAAGUACGAUCGCAAGAUUGGAACUCAAAGGAAUUGACGGGAGUCUAUACAAGUGGUGGAGCAUGUGGUUUAAUGCGAUAAUACGCGCGAAAUCUUACCAGUUCUUGCAUAUAAUCUAAAAUUUUGCUAAACGAUAUUUAAUUUCGAGUUAAUAAAUUUAUAAAAAUAUUAUACAGGUGCUGCAUGGCUGUCGCCAGCUCGUGCUGUGAAGUGUUUGGUUAAGUCCUUAAACGAGCGAAACUCUUUUUUUAUAUUGGUAAUUUAAAUAUCAAACGGUAAUUUAACCACUUAUAAAAUACUGCCAGUGACAAAUUGGAGGAAGGAGGGAACGACGUCAAGCCCUUAUGGCCCUUAUGAACU